This is a non-coding RNA of Triticum urartu, 10827 nucleotides long. NCBI's taxonomy places the organism in Eukaryota, Viridiplantae, Streptophyta, Magnoliopsida, Poales, Poaceae. The record is from RefSeq and is a predicted model, not a curated record.
CCUCCUCCUCUCCCCUCCCGCGCACCUCCUCUCCCCGCGUCCCAGCCCCCGCUCGCCCCGCUCUCUCCCCUUCCUCUCCCUCCCUCAGACCUCGCCGCCCCGCUCACAUCGCUGCCGCCGACGCCCUCGGACCACGCCACGGUGGACCUCGCUCCUCCCCGCCCCGCCUGUCCCGCUCGCCGUGGCCGUGGCCAAUGACCGCGGCCCCGCCGUCCCGCCCCGCCCGCCGCGGCGGCCAUGGACGAGCUCGAGCUCGACAGGGGAGCAACGGGGAGAGGAACAUGAGGCUAGGGGGAGGAAGAAGAUGGCCACCGCCGCCGGAUCACCGUCACGCCUCUGCUUCAACCCUAACCCUAGCAAUUCUGCUGCUGCUCAAGGUGCACGCAUGCGUCCAACGGCGAACCCUAGCCUCGGACAGCAGCAGCGGCCAUCACCAAUGACAGUAGCGACAGGAGCGGCCAGCAGCUCAGGUGCACCUAUCUCUUCCAGGAGCACGACGCCCCACCCCACCCACUACCCCUUCCCCCGCCAGCCAUGGGGGCUGGCCCCCUGCCUCUCAGAUCGUGACCUGAAGCCGGCUCAGACUUCAGAUGCAGAGAUGUGAUGCUUGCUCUGUUGCCAGUGCAUCCUACUCUCCUGGCAACCAUAGUGCCCUCACCAUAACAUGAACAACAGAGGGCUGGUGCGCUCACCAUGACCUUGAUGGCGCAGCGGAAGUUCGAGUCCUCUGUAGAGAAGCAUCCAGUGGCGGAGGCUAUGAGGUUGCAUUCUUAUUUCUCCUAGGACUAUGUUUAAACAUUCAACAACUCUGGCCAACAUAUGAAACAAGGCCAAGUCUCGCAUGGGGAUGCAGCCAAUCCUCUGCUUGCUUCCAGCACGGCGCCGGCCGGAUCCGGCUCGACCACAACCACGACACCGGCAUUGGCAGCCAUGUGCUUCUUCUCCAUCACCACAAAAUGAGAAUGCAAGGCACAAGCAAGGGGAGACCAUCGCUUCGCUCCUCUGGGCCGCCGCUGCUCCAACCCUACUGGACGCCAUGCAAGGUCGCCGACGUUGUGGAGCUGGACGAGGUUUUUUGGUGCGUUUGUGCUCGUUGGCGGGACGGUGCAAGGCGCAACUCCGACGUGGUUCCUUGCCGGUUGGGCGGCGUUCACGCGCAACCCCGGCGUGCACUGAGUACUGCCUCGGCUACAACCUCCCUCGGUGAGCCCCAUCUUCCUCCUGCUCCUCUGCUUCGGCUACUAUAUGGGACAUGGCCAUGGCUAUAUUGAUCCAUCCAUCCAUCCAGAAAUAAGAAUAGAAGCUCCUCAGGCCGCACCACAGUGAUUUGGGAUUCCUGGCCGUCGGAUCGGGUGGCUUGAUCGGAUCUGGGCUGUUGGAUCGACCCCUGUAACGACAUCGUCCGUCGGAUAAAAAAAGUUACUGCUGGAAUGAAUAGUUACUCCCGUUUCGUGCCACCGCUCGUAAAUAGCCUGCCCCGCCGGGGGCAUUCUCGCCAUUUCACUUUGUCUAUGGCGGUGGCGUUCGUGCUAGGGCGAUGAUGAUUAACUGUGGCUGGAAUAAGUGUGCCUUUGAGCAAUCAAGGCACCUGUGGGUAUCAAGUUGGAUCCUCCCUGUUGUCUCUAGAAUCCUUUUUGAUCCUGUGAUACCUAUUGAUCUGUCCUUGGAUGGUCAUUCUUGUUGAGUGAUAACCAGGGCAGCUCCAUUGUGUAAACAGAUUGAUCUGGUGAUAAGAGAUGAUGGGGAUAGGUUAUAUGAUCGAGAAAAGGUGAAUCUGAGCCCACUAUGCAAUAAAACUGCAGCUACCUCCCCUAAUGUGUGUAGUAUUGAAGGCAAAAGAGAACUUUUAAUGUCUUGCUACUUUAAAAUUCCAAAAAGGUGCAUUCUUCCUUUGCUGGUUACUUAAACAUGAUUUUUUGUUUUGCUUUGGUUCUGGUUGAGAUACUAAAGGUUGUUUAUAUAUGAAAAUAAUAGACACUUGUAGUUUUGUAUGCCUCACCUGUAGCUUAGGAUCCAGUGUUGUAAUGUUUUGCCUGGGUAAAAAUAACUCUAAUCAAUAAUAGUGGUUCUAUCCUUCUGAUUUGAACUGGGAGAGGGCCACUGAUUCUUGAUCUUAAGGUGACCCCAUUUUUCUAUGCCUCAUGCUCAUGCUGCUCUAUGUUCCCUUUUAAAGAUUCUUGCUUGCAUUUUGGGUUGGUUUUCUGCUAUAUGUUCCCUUUUAGCAUUUCUUUCCGCUGUUGCUGCAUUCCCUUUUUUGUAUAUUACAUGUUCUUUUUGUAUCUCAUUCUGCAUGUAACAUAACUAAAUAAUACAUUGAGAUGAAAGGUUAUAUCUGAUAUCAUUGAGAGGAGCAGGCCAACAUCCCUACCUCCCUCUUCAACUCCCACCCAACACAAUUGUGGUGAGCUCCCCCUCUCAUCUACCUGCUAUUUGUACAUUCGGUUUUGGAUGCAUACAAAUUGUGUAUGCCAUGACUAAAACUCGGGCAGCAAAUUGUGUGUGUGUGUGCGCGCGCGCGCGCACGCACAUCACAUUUUUGUUUAAUUUUGGAUGGCUCAAACCGGCUGGAGCCAACUUUGUGUGCGUGUGAGUGCGCAUCCAUUGCAUGUAAAAAUCUUGUUUUUUCCAAACUCUUCUACUGUCGGAUAUGUAGAUAAAUUGCUUAUCUGGGCAGUUGUAGUACUCCAUGCCAUUGUCAAGGAUCUGCACUUUCAUCGCACUAAAUGUAGUUGACUAAAAAGGUAAGUUAUGCCUUCUCUCUCGCUAAUCAAUUUUCUCUUGGCUAUUCUUUCUUUGCAGAUGAUCAUAUUUUGUGUAUUUUCACUAUGUAUUCUUGUAUCUAUAUAUGUUGAGCAGAUUGUUUCCUCUAUGACCAUGAUUCUAUAUGAUUACUGUGGUCUCUAACCUUCUCUUCUUUUCUAAUUAGAACAUGAUACUAAUCUGAUGUAUCUCCUAUUUGCGGUGACUAUUAAAUAUGGAGUUUCUGUGUUGUCUAAUGAAGCAGUCAAGUAUGCAAUCUGAGUAGAAUAUCAUUUAAAGGUCAUUGACCCAACAAAUUGAACUUAAUCUGAACCUCCCCUGUUCCUGCUAAAUAUCCCUAUUUUUCUGAACUUAACAAAGAACAACAUCAUAUAUUAGAUCAGCACACAAGUGAACCGGAAAGCAUUUUAUUCAGUCUUGGUACCCUUAGUGUAAAAUUAUUCCUUACUGGUUGGGAAUUUGGAGGUGCAGUAUGUGGUUGGUGAAAGAUUUUUUCUCUCCUAGGCUCCACACAUUCUCUUCCAUCUAAAACAACCGAUGCGGUCAAGUGGUGUAGUAGUUGAUGGUCGAGAGCUAAAAUCAGGGCACUGUUUUGUUUUAGGAUUUGUGUAAUCUUUAGAUCCACCUUUACCAUCACAAUUAUUUGCCUGAGCUCUGGUGAUUACUCCCAAGGAUUACUCCACCAAAUAACAUUACCGAGGUAUCACUGUGUGCCUGGCUGUUUAUUCAUGUGUAGUACUACAGUGUGUGGCCUUCUCUGUUUUGUCAAAUGCCAGUACUUGCAUUGUGACCCUUGAUGUAAUGUCUGUCAACCUGUAACCCUUUGAAACAUGACCUGUUGCCUAUUGGUAUUACUGAUAUAAAAGAGAUAUUUUGUUUGUGCUGAUGCAGGAGGGCAGCAGCCUCGAUGCGGCGAUCACGUCGCUCCUUAGCGUGGAGAUGUAGUGCCACCUGGCCGGCAGAAGGAAGUCCGCCGAUCGUCGAGAUCUGCUUCAAGGACGGCGCCUGGAAGAAGCUCAAUGACCAGAUCAUCGUCCUCUCCAAUAGGAGGGGUCAGUUCAAGCAGGUUGGUCCGCUGUCUACAGGUGCUCGUUAUUCUGGCCAGUUUGUCGUGCUCUAUCUUCGACCACCUCUUUGCAGUAACUUUUUCCGGCCUUGCUGGAGGAGAUGAAGCACAUGGCAAAGCAGGAGUUCAUUGCGCACUUAAGAAGCAGAGGAGGCGUCCUGGAGCGCGGUGGAGGCAUUUUGGACGUGGAGCACGGCCUUGCGGUUCCUGGAGCCUAGGGAGGCCAUGCGAGAAACCUGGGGCAGCAAGGUACUGCGUCUUGCUGCUCCUCCCCCAUGUCUGGAGCUCGCCUGGAGCUCCCCCAUGCCUUGAGCUCGCUAGAGCAGAGGCCUGCAGAGCGCUCCCUGGGGCAAGGCCUGGGGCGAUCUGCAGGGAGGAGCAGAGGCCUGGAGCUGCGGGGAGAAGAGGUAUGUAGCUGCAGGGAGGAGCUGAGGCCUGGAGCUGGCGGCGAGCUCUGGAGGCGACGACGCAAGGAAGGAGUGAAUCAUGAGGGAGAGGGAGGAGCGGAUCGCCAACUUUUGAAUUGUAUAAGGAUGUAAUUGAAAAAUGCUGUUUAGUUCAAAAUGUGUGUCCGUUGCGACAGAUAUUUCGGGACGGAGAAAGUACUAUUGACAUGGAUACACUUUAUUUAUCAAGGAUUUUUGUAUAUCAUAUUAUCACAGGAAAAUGAUCUAUGUAUGCACUUUUUAUGGUCAUGUACAGUUCAGAGCCAGUGUUAUUUAUCAAACACAUAAUUUAAAUAAGGCUUGUGAAAAAAAUUGCCCAUAGAAAUGAUCACUUUGGAUUGGUAGUGUCAAAAGGAUGCAGAACAUUUGCAACAUUUCUUCCCAUAUUCAUGAGACUUUCACUCUGUUGUUGCAUUAGUCAAGUUUAAUUUCAUUACAUAUGUGUGCAUGUAUCAGUUUUCAUAUGUAAAGUGAUAUAUUUAAGAAUUAUGAGAAAUUUUGCCAAAUUUGGUGGGCACAAAACAGAGGCAUCCGGAAGCAGGACAAACGUCAUUGGUAUUUUGUUGGUCAUUUUUUGCAUCGCAUCUCAAAUGGAAUGGCACUAAUGGAGGCAAUUGAACCAAGCUAUCUAUUGUAUGCCUAACUAUGGCUUUAUAGUUGUAUCGCCUCUGGUGCCAAUGUUUUCUUCUUAGCCCUGAACCCGAUAAUCGGUAAUCCUGUUACAUGUUCUAAACUUGCCUUCAUAUAAAUGCAUCAUGUCGUUUGAUCUUCCGUCACUUGACCUCCCGCACGCCUCCUCUCCCCUCCUCCCACCCACAUCGCCGCUGCCGCCACCUACCGCCUCGAACCGCGCCGUCCGCGGCCAGAUCCGCCGCAACAGAGCCCCCCUUCCAACGACGACGAGCAGCAGUGGAGGGAGGACGAGGAGCACGACGGUGGCGGCGGCGGGGAGCAGCAGCGGCAGGCCAAGGCGGCGCAGCAGGCAGCGGAGGGAGGAUGAGGAGCACGGCGGCGGUGGCGGCAGGGAGCGGCGUACAACGCCGCCAGGGCCGUGCUGAUGAGUCCUCCUCCUCCUCCUUCCACCCCUGCAACUUCAACCGCCACCCGGAACCCUACCGAUGGCGCCAUAGAUCAGAUCCUCCUCUCUCCUCAUCUCCCUCGCACUACGCCGGCUGCAGGCCAUCUCCGACGAGCUCAUCCACGGGUCUCCGACUAUGCUGCUCCGAUCUGGAAGAAGGGGUCGGUGGAGCUGCUGCUGCUGCAGGUGGAUGAGGCACGAGCUCUCAUGGCUCCUCCCUCCUCCUACCCCCUGACGUGGUUUCCCUGAUGAGGACAAGCUGCUUCUGCAGGUGGACGGGCCCUCAUGGUUGCUGCACUCUCUCAUCGGGAGUAGGCAGGAGAAGUGUCAGCCGCCGAAGCAGACGAGCCGAGCCAUCAGUGGUUGCAUCUUUGACAUCCUUUCCUAGCGUGGUCGCCAGCAGAGUGCUCGAGUCUGGAGGGGCAGCAGACGGUGGUGGGCGCUUGCGCCGCCGCCAUCUCGUUCGUCCUGCCCGCCCGACCCCCGAUGCUCACUUCCCCAGCGUCGUCGCCGUCGUCCACAACCACCGCCACCGCGCCCCCACCCUCUCCCCAUCGCUGCAGGGCCCCACCUUCUCCCAAUCCCCUCAUCCUUCUCUCCCGUUGCCAGUGGAUUCGCCCCUCGCGGGAUCGAUUCUUGUGUUUGUAUUUGUUGGAUUGCUUGCUUAUGUCUAAUGAAGAGAGUAUAUGUCCUGCCGUAUACCUAGAACUCUUAUGUUUGGUUAAUUAUUUUGAUUUAGUUCCUUAGGUUAAUAUAAUUUUAUUGUGGUUUUUUACAGAUGUUUCAUUUUACCUAGGGAUAAAAAGUGCAAUAUAAAGGUUCAUUAAACAAACUGAACUUAUAUAUGAUCAUUUAGGUGCUGAAUUUGUCUAUCUGAACUUUAUUGGUACUGAAAUUAUCUCAUAUAAAGUAAGUGAUUCAUUUCCCCUCGAGUGGAUAAACAUAUAGUGGAAGAAGGGCUUCUAUGUCAUACCCAUGCCUUCAUAUUUAGUUCCAUGCUAAAGGAUCACUAAAUCUCGGCACCUCCAUUGUUUUUCUUAUCAAACUAGAGGGCUUCAUAAAUAUUGUAUAUAUGUCUUACCAAGACAUUUUCUAAGUAACAUAGUGAGUUCAAAUUGUUUUUUCUGUAACCUUUGAUAGAAGGAUCCACACAUGUUUUGUUUUCUGCGUGUAUAUUUGUGCUACCAAGAUUGCAUUAUAUUUUUCUGAGUCCAGAGAGAUGGACCUUGCUUAUGAUGGCAGUCAGUGUUAUGUUUACUUGAUAAUCCUUAAUUUUCCAAUUCACAGCUUUGUGUACUGCUGUUAUACACACACUUCCAAAGAAAUAUCAGAUUUUGUUCUUUCUUCUUUUAAAAUUAAAUAUGCUUGAAUUUCCUUUUGUCGAUUUCUAAACUCACCUUCCUGAUAGUUUCCAUACAUGCAUAUACCCUUUUUGGUCAUUAUAGAAAUAUAUUGUUUUAACGAUGCCUGUUAGCUACAUAUGUCAGAAUGUAACUAAUUAAUUUUACUUCUCGCGAAGUAUAUUUCUUUUGUUUCAAUAAGAAUUAUGCACAACUCGAUAUUUAAAGGUGCAUUUGUCUAAUUUUCUUUAUUUCAAAACUGCAUAUGCAGGAGAGGCUCACACUAAGGGAGGGCUAAAUUGUGAGAUAUCCUUGUUUGGUCCUUUCCAUAUACCUACAAGGCAUGAAUCAAGAUGGCAUGGUUUAUCAUUGAACUGAAUGCUUCCAUGGAACUUUGGUUUCAGGAGAGUUUCACUUCAUGUAGCGGCGUGGAUGUCCGGGGAAGUGGUUCCUCGCCGGCUGGAUGGCGUUCAGGCGCAACCCCGGCGCCCACUGAUUACUGGCUCGGCUACAACCUCCCUCGGUGAUCUCCAACUUCCUCCUGCUCCUCAAUUUCUGUUUGGGGAAUUCUUCAAUUGAUAAAUUGAAAUGACUACUGGUUAGGUAAUUAGUUCACUGAAAAGAUAGGCCAUUGUCGUUUAAUAUAGUUUUUGGUCUCAUUAACAACACACGUUGGUGUCAAGACGAGCGACAUGGCCUGCUAUGAUCAACAACUUCUGAGUCAUAGGAUUUGAUGCAUUAUUCUGUGUGAAAAGGGGCAAUGAAUGCGUGAAUUAAGUUUUUUUGGUUUGAAGCUACUAGCAGCAAUUUCUAUGUAUAACUAUACUAAUAGAUGAGAGCAUGUGUGCAUAUGUGGUUUUCAAGGAGAAUUAUGUGACCGUGGCGUUCGUGCUCGUCGGCGGGACGAUGCAAGGCGCAACUCCGACGCGGUCGCGUGGUGGAUGUGCGGUGUAGGAAGCGGUUCCUUGCCGGUUGGACGGCGUUCACGCGCAACCCCGGCGUGCAGUGAGUACUGCCUCGGCUACAACCUCCCUCGGUGAGCUCCAUCUUCCUCCUUCUCCUCUGCUUUGGCUACUGUAUGGGACAUGGCCAUCCAGAGAUAAGAAUAGAAGCUCUCCUUCCAGCUCCUCAGCGAUUUGGGCUCCUGGCCGUUGGAUCUGCGCGCUUGAUGCGAUCCGAGCCAUUGGAUCGAGCCCUGGAACGACCUUGUCCGUCGGAUAAAAAAUAGUUACUGCUGGAAUGAACAGUUUCACCUCGACCGUGCCACCGCGCGUAAAUAGCCUGCCCCACCGGGGGCAUUCUCGCCAUUUCGCUUUGUCUGUGGCUGGCGUUCGUGCUAGGGCGAUGAUGAUUAACUGUGGCUGGAAUAAGUGUGCCUUUGAGCAAUCAAGGCACCUGUGGGUAUCAAGUUGGAUCCUCCCUGUUGUCUCUAGAAUCCUUUUUGAUCCUGUGAUACCUAUUGAUCUGUCCUUGGAUGGUCAUUCUUGUUGAGUGAUAAACAGGGCAGCUCCAUUGUGUAAACAGAUUGAUCUGGUGAUAAGAGAUGAUGGGGAUAGGUUAUAUGAUCGAGAAAAGGCUAAUCUGAGCCCACUAUGCAAUAAAACUGCAGCUACCUCCCCUAAUGUGUGUAGUAUUGAAGGCAAAAGAGAACUUUUAAUGUCUUGCUACUUUAAAAUUCCAAAAAGGUUCAUUCUUCCUUUGCUGGUUACUGAUUCUUCAUCUUAAGGUGACCCCAUUUAUAUAGUGGUUCUAUCCAUCUGAUUUGAACUGGGAGAGGGCCACUGAUUCUUGAUCUUAAGGUGACCCCAUUUUUCUAUGCCUCAUGCUCAUGCUGCUCUAUGUUCCCUUUUAAAGAUUCUUGCUUGCAUUUUGGGUUGGUUUUCUGCUCUAUGUUCCCUUUUAGCAUUUCUUUCUGCUGUUGCUGCAUUCCCUUUUUUGUAUAUUACAUGUUCUUUUUUAUCUCAUUCUGCAUGUAACAUAACUAAAUAAUACAUUGAGAUGAAAGGUUAUAUCUGAUAUCAUUGAGAGGAGCAGGCCAACAUCCCUACCUCCCUCUUCAACUCCCACCCAACACAAUUGUGGUUGGUCCACUGUCUACAGGUGCUCGUUAUUCUGGCCAGUUUGUCGUGCUCUAUCUUCGACCACCUCUUUGCAGGAAAAUGCCUCAAUUAAUUAGUUUGUUGCUCCGUUAGUCGCCAUGGUCAGAUGAUGCUUCAGGUUUGCACUUCACAUUGAGGUAUUAGCCUGGUUACUAGCAUAGGUUUUCCUGUUGUGCCGCUUACUGCAAUUUCAUUAUUGAUUUGAUAGGAAAACUGGUGUUUAUCUACAUGAGGGACCUGGUUGUAUUACCUACUACAUGCAUCGUUAACUGGGCACCAAAAAACCUAGAUUGUGCAUCUCUGUUUGUUCAUGUGGUGAUUAUCCUAUUGUUUUCGGCAUCAGUGAGUUAUCUCUUCCCUGUGUUUUUUGCGUGAAGUCUUAGCCAACACCCAAGGUUCUGUUCCUGUGUAAUUAUUUUGCAUUGUUUCAGUUUGUUGUAUUACGAUGCCUAUUUUGCAGUCACACAAUCCAAAUGUAAUAGUAGGGAGAAAGAUGAUGAUGUUGUGCUUUAUAUAACAAUUCAAAUUCUAGAGUCGCACUUUUUGUUGAUUAAUCAUUCUGACCAGUAAUGAUUAUUCCUCUUUGUUUUAUUGUAUUGUUGGCCAAUUGUAGGUGUAUAUUUUCUGUAUGGUAUAUAUUAUGCGAGUUAUUUCUAACGCAUCUUGAUUUUAUUUUAGAAUCAUCUAACUCAAGCUCAUGCCUUUGAUCUUUGUUAACUAAAGCUUCUGUUAUAUUGGAUAUCAAAUUAUCUACACUUGAACUUAAGAUGUGAUGUAUCAUACUAGAUUUUCACUCCUUUAAAAAAUCUUAGUUAGCAUUCAGAUUUUUUUUAGAAUAGAUGCUCCUAUAUUUUUGUCAGCGCUUGAUGUACUUUGUUUAAAUGUUUCUUCCUGGUAGGAUCGAUUGUAAACAGUGGAUGAAUGCAUACCUUUUCAAGCUUAAGCAUUUGAUGUUUGGUGAUGUGGUAUUUGCUCUUUAAAGACGUUCCUACUACUUUCUUUUUUGAUAAAUAGACAAGUUGGAUCCAGUGUAUGUCCAUGUGUGUGCCUUGGUUCAGUACGCAAUGAAAUCUGGGAAAGUGGCUUCUGUUUAACAUUGUCAUGAAAGAUACAUUCACAUGUCUUGAACUUUCUAUCUUGGUUCUAUUUGUAUUGUUAGUUUCAAAAGAUAUAUUCACUUCUUUGCGACUUUUAUCUCUAUAACAUGUCUACUCUUCGUUUAGAUAUAUUUUUUAUUCCACCUAUGUUGUUGUGAGGGAGCAGGCUUCUUAUGGGGAAUGGUGAUGAUUUCUUGAGCUUUCAUUUUGUUCUCCUUUCUAUCCCAAACAUAGUUUUCGCAGAGUCGAUGUAUGUGCCGGUUUGCCCGGAUAAUCCAUGUAGCGGUUAGUCUGUUUUUAUUCAUAUAAUUACUGGACUCCUAUAAAAAACACGAAGAUGUACUGCGCUAUAUGUUCUCUGAUCCGUUGAGCCCAAACAUGUACAAGUGGAUCUGAUCGUUAGAUUUUAAUUAUAUUUUGGACGUUGUCAUAGCUAGCAAUAUAUAGUGCAGUUUACUUUCUUUGUCCUCUUGUGGCCACUAACUAAAUCUUUUGUGUUUUCUUCUUUUGCUCAGGGCCCUAUGCUCCUAUAGCUUGAAUUAGGGUGGUGCCAGUGAUUCACAAGCAAGGUGAAGUCAUUCAAGUAUUGGCCACUACUAUCUGCAUUAGCUUCGCCUCAGAAAAUAACCUUUUCACUUGGAAGGAGGAAGUAGGAGUUCUCAGUAAUGGUUAACUACAAGCUACAGUAGAUGUUCUUUGAUUAACAAAGACAAAUGUCCUACUAUUAUCGAUGUUUCCAGAGCUUCGUUCUCAAUUUGUCUGUUAUCUCAUUAUGUUUAUGAGCAGCUCCAAAAUCUGAUACUUAUGCUUGCCAGUAUGAAUUUCUUGGCUAUAUUUUAUAGAACUUAUGUCUUGACGCUUUGUACUGAACUUGAUGCAGUCCAAUUCAAGUCAGUUGUCCUGAGCAAGCACUAUGUCUUGCUUUUGGUACACUUUGUGCC